CAGUCGCCACGGGAAUACGUAGGGUGCAAGCGUUAAUCGGAAUUACUGGGCGUAAAGCGUGCGCAGGCGGUUUUGUAAGACAGAGGUGAAAUCCCCGGGCUCAACCUGGGAACUGCCUUUGUGACUGCAAGGCUAGAGUACGGCAGAGGGGGAUGGAAUUCCGCGUGUAGCAGUGAAAUGCGUAGAUAUGCGGAGGAACACCGAUGGCGAAGGCAAUCCCCUGGGCCUGUACUGACGCUCAUGCACGAAAGCGUGGGGAGCAAACAGGAUUAGAUACCCCAGUAGUCCCUGUCUCUUAUAA
Molecule: ribosomal RNA, 301 nt
Filed under: uncultured bacterium
Lineage: Bacteria
Description: partial 16S ribosomal RNA
Rfam family: Bacterial small subunit ribosomal RNA
Source: RNAcentral